AUGCCUUCGUCCUCCUCGUCCUCCCUCGAGCCGGACCACCACCCUGCCCUCCGCAGACAAGGCGACACCGAGGGCGCCGUCUCGUUCCUGCGGACGCAGCACGACGUCGACGCGGUGUGCGACAAGUACGGCGUCCCCAAGGACCGGUACACCGCGCGCCCCGCCGGCGACCUGCGCGCGAGCUCGCCCCCGCCGCCGGGGUGCGUCUGCCUGUACGCGGAGGCGCUGGAGGCCGGCAUGCGCGUCCCGCUGCACGGCUUCUUCUGCGACGUGCUCGCCCAUUUCGGCAUCGCGCCCACCCAGCUCGCGCCCAACGGGUGGCGCAUCUUGGCGGGCUUCGUCGUGCUCUGCCACUCCGCCGACGUGCCGCCGUCGCUGCCCGUGUUCCGGCACUUCUUCCUGCUGUCGAUCGUCAACCGCAAGCACCGAGGGUGCUACUUCUUCCGAUCCAGGGACAACUCCGGCAUGCGCUUCAAGGGGAUGCCGAGCUGCAUCAAGGACUGGAAGAACUCGUUCUUCUUCCUGUCGUCGCCGGAGCCGUGGCCUUUCCCCGUGGAGUGGGGCGAGCCGUCCAAGAGCUCUUUCAUGGUGCCGGUACUUGACAGCGAGGAGAAGAAACACGCGGCGAAGCUACUGCGCAGUUACGCCAGCGCCGCCGUUGACAUCGAUACAUGUCUCUCCGACAGCAACCUCGCAGCCGCCAUGGCACCUGCUGCAUCUGCGCGGCGGCCGCCGCCGCCGGCUUCUUUUACUCGCAUUGCUUCCGAUUCCAAAGGCAUGGAUCCCUCUGUCUACGAGAUGAUGAAGCAUAUGCUGGCGGAGACGGCGGCCGCUCAGGCGUCGGCGUCGGCAAAGAAGCAGCGCGCGUUUGCAUCGACCGAGCCGUCCGAUGUAGUCGCGGCGAGCUAUGUUGCGAUUCUCCAGGCGGCGAACUACGUGUCGUCGUCCUUGGGCUACGCGCUGGAGCUGGAAGAGAAGCUGGCGGCGCGGGACGCGGAGGUCGCGGCGCUAGAGAAGCAGCUGGAGGAGACGAAGGCCGAGCUCGCCGCGGCGAGAGCGGAGCGGGACAGUGCGAGAGGGGCGCGCGCGGCGGCUCGCGGAGCACGCGCUGGAGCGCUGGAAGAGUGGUAG
This 1131-nucleotide ribosomal RNA is filed under the name Triticum aestivum (bread wheat). RNAcentral describes it as "partial small subunit ribosomal RNA". Lineage: Eukaryota; Viridiplantae; Streptophyta; Magnoliopsida; Poales; Poaceae. The record is from RNAcentral.